Molecule: ribosomal RNA, 430 nt
Filed under: uncultured bacterium
Lineage: Bacteria
Description: bacterial SSU rRNA
Rfam family: Bacterial small subunit ribosomal RNA
Source: RNAcentral
UGGGGAAUAUUCCGCAAUGGACGCAAGUCUGACGGAGCAACGCCGCGUGAGUGAUGAAGGCCUUUGGGUCGUAAAACUCUGUCUUCAGGGAAGAACCCUUAGCAGUUGAAUAAGCUGUUAAGCUGACGGUACCUGAGGAGGAAGCCCCGGCUAACUACGUGCCAGCAGCCGCGGUAAUACGUAGGGGGCGAGCGUUGUCCGGAAUCAUUGGGCGUAAAGCGCGCGUAGGCGGUUAUUUAAGUCAGACGUGAAAAACCUGGGCUUAACCCAGGUCUUGCGUUUGAAACUGGAUAGCUUGAGGGCAGGAGAGGAUAGUGGAAUUCCUAGUGUAGCGGUGAAAUGCGUAGAUAUUAGGAGGAACACCAGUGGCGAAGGCGACUAUCUGGCCUGUACCUGACGCUGAGGUGCGAAAGCUGGGGGAGCGAACGGG